RNAcentral lists this transfer RNA (75 nucleotides) under Eutreptia sp. CCAC 1914B. RNAcentral's name for it is "tRNA-Arg". It matches the Rfam family "tRNA". From Rfam's summary of the family: Transfer RNA (tRNA) molecules are approximately 80 nucleotides in length. The record is from RNAcentral. Lineage: Eukaryota; Euglenozoa; Euglenophyceae; Eutreptiales; Eutreptiaceae.
GGGUUUAUAGCUCAGUUGGACUAGAGCACGUGGCUACGAACUACGGUGUCGGGGGUUCGAAUCCCUCUUUGCCCG